This 240-nucleotide ribosomal RNA is filed under the name uncultured bacterium. RNAcentral's name for it is "partial 16S ribosomal RNA". It matches the Rfam family "Bacterial small subunit ribosomal RNA", at positions 95 to 334 of the family's 1533-position model. The record is from RNAcentral.
CCGGCAAACGGGUGCGGAACACGUACAGAACCUUCCUUUAAGCGGGGGAUAGCCCAGAGAAAUCCGGAUUAAUACCCCAUAGUAAUGUUGGGUGGCAUCACCUGGUAUUUAAAGAUUUAUCACUUAAAGAUGGCUGUGCGGCUGAUUAGGUAGUUGGUGUGGGUAACGGCCCACCAAGCCUUCGAUCAGUAACUGGUGUGAGAGCACGACCAGUCACACGGGCACUGAGACACGGGCCCG